RNAcentral lists this ribosomal RNA (853 nucleotides) under uncultured organism. RNAcentral describes it as "bacterial SSU rRNA". It matches the Rfam family "Bacterial small subunit ribosomal RNA", at positions 527 to 1382 of the family's 1533-position model. The record is from RNAcentral.
GAAGGGACCUAGCGUAGUUCGGAAUUACUGGGCUUAAAGAGUUCGUAGGUGGUUAAAAAAGUUGGGGGUGAAAUCCCAGAGCUUAACUCUGGAACUGCCAUCAAAACUUUUUAGCUAGAGUAUGAUAGAGGAAAGUAGAAUUUCUAGUGUAGAGGUGAAAUUCGUAGAUAUUAGAAAGAAUACCAAUUGCGAAGGCAGCUUUCUGGAUCAUUACUGACACUGAGGAACGAAAGCAUGGGUAGCGAAGAGGAUUAGAUACCCUCGUAGUCCAUGCCGUAAACGAUGUGUGCUAGACGUUGGAAAUUUAUUUUCAGUGUCGCAGCGAAAGCGUUAAGCACACCGCCUGGGGAGUACGACCGCAAGGUUAAAACUCAAAUGAAUUGACGGGGACCCGCACAAGCAGUGGAGCAUAUGGUUUAAUUCGAAGAUACGCGCAGAACCUUACCAACACUUGACAUGUUCGUCGCGACUUUAAGAAAUUAAAGUUUUCGGUUCGGCCGGACGAAACACAGGUGCUGCAUGGCUGUCGUCAGCUCGUGUCGUGAGAUGUUGGGUUAAGUCCCGCAACGAGCGCAACCCUUACUUUUAGUUGCCACCAUUUAGUUGAGCACUCUGAAAGAACUGCCAGUGAUAAGCUGGAGGAAGGUGGGGAUGACGUCAAGUCCUCAUGGCCCUUACGUGUUGGGCUACACACGUGCUACAAUGGCACUUACAAUAGAAGCAAAGAGGCGACUCCAAGCAAAUCCUAAAAAAGUGCCUCAGUUCGGAUUGUACUCUGCAACUCGAGUACAUGAAGCUGGAAUUGCUAGUAAUCGCGGAUCAGCGCGCCGCGGUGAAUACGUUCCCGGGUCUU